This is a non-coding RNA of Ceratotherium simum simum (southern white rhinoceros), 252 nucleotides long. The record is from RefSeq and is a predicted model, not a curated record. Lineage: Eukaryota; Metazoa; Chordata; Mammalia; Perissodactyla; Rhinocerotidae.
AAGAUUUCUGGAAAAGGCUUUAAUAAUGCAAAGAACAAGGAUGAUGUUAUUUGUAGAUUCAAGUUCAGCGACACCGAAUUAUUUGAUGAAAAACCCACCUCUGUGGAAGAUACCACAAUAAUGUGCCCAGGAGUAAAGAUAGAGAAGCCAGACCAGGAAGUCUUCAUUGAAGUUAGCCUGAGCAAUGGCAUCAGUUUCAUCAACAAUGACGUUAGCAUCACCAGCAAGGACUGUGUGAGUGCCAGGGUGGGG